GAGGGUAUAGCUCCAUGGUAGAGUGCAUGCUCAGCAUGCGUGAGGUCAUGGGUUCGAUCCUCAGUACCUCCA
This 72-nucleotide transfer RNA is filed under the name Camelus bactrianus (Bactrian camel). It matches the Rfam family "tRNA". From Rfam's summary of the family: Transfer RNA (tRNA) molecules are approximately 80 nucleotides in length. The record is from Rfam by way of RNAcentral. Lineage: Eukaryota; Metazoa; Chordata; Mammalia; Artiodactyla; Camelidae. RNAcentral also lists the same sequence under 3 other names.